Molecule: ribosomal RNA, 374 nt
Filed under: uncultured organism
Description: partial 16S ribosomal RNA
Rfam family: Bacterial small subunit ribosomal RNA
Source: RNAcentral
GUAGGUGGCAAGCGUUGUCCGGAAUUAUUGGGCGUAAAGCGCGCGCAGGCGGUCCUUUAAGUCUGAUGUGAAAGCCCACGGCUCAACCGUGGAGGGUCAUUGGAAACUGGGGGACUUGAGUACAGAAGAGGAAAGCGGAAUUCCAAGUGUAGCGGUGAAAUGCGUAGAGAUUUGGAGGAACACCAGUGGCGAAGGCGGCUUUCUGGUCUGUAACUGACGCUGAGGCGCGAAAGCGUGGGGUAGCAAACAGGGAUUAGAUACCCUGGUAGUCCACGCCGUAAACGAUGAGUGCUAAGUGUUAGGGGGUUUCCGCCCCCUUAGUGCUGCAGCUAACGCAUUAAGCACUCCGCCUGGGGAGUACGGCCGCAAGGCUG